RNAcentral lists this ribosomal RNA (199 nucleotides) under Campylobacter coli. Its description in RNAcentral is "partial 23S ribosomal RNA". It matches the Rfam family "Bacterial large subunit ribosomal RNA", at positions 1 to 216 of the family's 2925-position model. RNAcentral also lists the same sequence under 1 other name. Lineage: Bacteria; Pseudomonadati; Campylobacterota; Epsilonproteobacteria; Campylobacterales; Campylobacteraceae. The record is from RNAcentral.
AGGUAAGCUACUAAGAGCGAAUGGUGGAUGCCUUGACUGGUAAAGGCGAUGAAGGACGUACUAGACUGCGAUAAGCUACGGGGAGCUGUCAAGAAGCUUUGAUCCGUAGAUUUCCGAAUGGGGCAACCCAAUGUAUAGAGAUAUACAUUACCUAUAUAGGAGCGAACGAGGGGAAUUGAAACAUCUUAGUACCCUCAGG